RNAcentral lists this long non-coding RNA (215 nucleotides) under Manihot esculenta (cassava). RNAcentral's name for it is "long non-coding RNA (MESC_LNC009703)". Lineage: Eukaryota; Viridiplantae; Streptophyta; Magnoliopsida; Malpighiales; Euphorbiaceae. The record is from RNAcentral.
ACAUGCACAUUUGCCUCCCAUAUUCUCCAAACUCAUACACAACUCUUCCAAACAUGCAUAAACAUGUACACAAGCAUAUAGGGGUCUCAAACUAGCCUAAACCCCAACAACAUCACAUUUAGCAACACAAACAACAUACAUUAACCAUAAAACUUACAUAAACCCUAACAUCAUGCAUAUACUCUAAUCAUGCAAUAAACCCUCUUAAAACCCCU